CCUACGGGGGGCUGCAGUGGGGAAUAUUGGACAAUGGGGGCAACCCUGAUCCAGCCAUGCCGCGUGUGUGAAGAAGGCCCUCGGGUUGUAAAGCACUUUCAGUGAGGAAGAACGCCUGGUGGUUAAUACCCAUCAGGAAAGACAUCACUCACAGAAGAAGCACCGGCUAACUCCGUGCCAGCAGCCGCGGUAAUACGGAGGGGGCGAGCGUUAAUCGGAAUUACUGGGCGUAAAGCGCGCGUAGGUGGCUUGAUAAGCCGGUUGUGAAAGCCCCGGGCUCAACCUGGGAACGGCAUCCGGAACUGUCAAGCUAGAGUGCAGGAGAGGAAGGUAGAAUUCCCGGUGUAGCGGUGAAAUGCGUAGAGAUCGGGAGGAAUACCAGUGGCGAAGGCGGCCUUCUGGACUGACACUGACACUGAGGUGCGAAAGCGUGGGUAGCAAACAGGAUUAGAUACCCCGGUAGUC
RNAcentral lists this ribosomal RNA (465 nucleotides) under Vreelandella stevensii. RNAcentral's name for it is "partial 16S ribosomal RNA". It matches the Rfam family "Bacterial small subunit ribosomal RNA", at positions 338 to 795 of the family's 1533-position model. Lineage: Bacteria; Pseudomonadati; Pseudomonadota; Gammaproteobacteria; Oceanospirillales; Halomonadaceae. The record is from RNAcentral.